RNAcentral lists this ribosomal RNA (473 nucleotides) under uncultured organism. RNAcentral's name for it is "partial 16S ribosomal RNA". It matches the Rfam family "Bacterial small subunit ribosomal RNA", at positions 332 to 797 of the family's 1533-position model. The record is from RNAcentral.
UACACUCCUGCGGGAGGCAGCAGUGGGGAAUUUUGGACAAUGGGCGAAAGCCUGAUCCAGCAAUGCCGCGUGUGUGAAGAAGGCCUUCGGGUUGUAAAGCACUUUUGUCCGGAAAGAAAUCCUUGGCUCUAAUACAGUCGGGGGAUGACGGUACCGGAAGAAUAAGCACCGGCUAACUACGUGCCAGCAGCCGCGGUAAUACGUAGGGUGCGAGCGUUAAUCGGAAUUACUGGGCGUAAAGCGUGCGCAGGCGGUUUGCUAAGACCGAUGUGAAAUCCCCGGGCUCAACCUGGGAACUGCAUUGGUGACUGGCAGGCUAGAGUAUGGCAGAGGGGGGUAGAAUUCCACGUGUAGCAGUGAAAUGCGUAGAGAUGUGGAGGAAUACCGAUGGCGAAGGCAGCCCCCUGGGCCAAUACUGACGCUCAUGCACGAAAGCGUGGGGAGCAAACAGGAUUAGAUACCCCAGUAGUCCC